GAAGACUACGAGGUAGAAUUGCAACUUCUUUGGCUUUCAAUUUCUCUCUUUUAUUUAUUUUCAAAUUCAUCUCUUUUCGAUUUCAUUUGGUUUAGUUUCUUUCCUAAAAUUCAAUCUACAAGGAUAUCAAUCCAUGUUUUAGAAUUUUCUUUUUAUUUUCCAUUUUAUACGAAUUGAACGAUACUAAGUUGCAAUUUGUUUGCUCUAUAGGGCAUCGUCAAAUAAUUAACAAUUUUUUAUGAUGGAAAAUUUUAAAUCAAUUUUUGGUAUUAUUCAUAGUGGAAAUAGUAAUUAUAUAUCUUCAACACCUUACAAGGUUGUAAAUUUCAGCUAGGCUUUCGAUAAUGCAAUUGUUAGUCUGAAACUGUGGACUAACCUUGUUCUGAUAUUUAGUUUUCCUUUCUUUACCUAAGAGCAAUACUGGGUUUUAUGGAUGUUCCAAUGAAUCUCCCAUCCAUUUUUUAAAACAAUAUCACCAAUGUCCAGCAAGUUUUUAUCCAUUAUACCUUAUAUCUAAGAAAUCCUCAUAUGGGAUGUUCAUGAUGAGAAUCAUAUGGAUAAAAAUGUGCUUCCAUUUUUUUGUUGUGUUGAUUUUCUCUUUACUGCUUGCUUCCUCUUUGGGGGAGAAAGAAAUACUAUUGCAUAGCUACAAAUUUUCUUCGUCAGCAUACUAUUUCUUGCAAGUACCUUCUAGAUUGUCAUACGAUCAGCCGCAUAUUGCUUCUUCAGCAGUGGGUGCCUGUUGUUUAAAUGGUGGCAGCUGCUCCUUUGUGAAUGCUGGCUUACCACCGUCUUCACUAUGGGUUCCAAAAAUUGGGGAAAAUAAGCUUUUGUGGCAGCAGGAUAUUAGCAUUUGAAUGCACAGUACAACAAUAUAAAUGGGAUUACUACUGAAUUGAAUUGCUUUAUGCUAAUUCAAUUGAGAUAUGAGGGUGUUCAUUUAUGUACUACUUGAAUUUCAUUAGUCCUUACUCCUGUAAAUGCUGCUAAAAUUUGAUUAACUUUGAUAAUUUUGCACCUUAUCAAGUUCUGCAAAAUUUAUGUGACAUGGUGGAUUCUAGAGAGAGAGUGAGGAGUUUAUACUUCUUAAUUCAGUACUGCAUCUUACUAACUUUUUCAUCUGUAGUGUGAGUGCUUUCCCACUUUUGGCUUUCUUUAUUCUCAUCCUCACAGAUAUGGGCAUAAUGUUUUUACAGAUUGAAGAGAAAAAACAAGCUG
Molecule: unclassified non-coding RNA, 1218 nt
Filed under: Hevea brasiliensis (rubber tree)
Lineage: Eukaryota; Viridiplantae; Streptophyta; Magnoliopsida; Malpighiales; Euphorbiaceae
Source: RNAcentral